AACGAACGCUGGCGGCAGGCUUAACACAUGCAAGUCGAACGAUGUAGCAAUACAUAGUGGCGCACAGGUGAGUAACGCGUGGGAACGUGCCUUUUAGUUUGGAAUAACACCGGGAAACCGGUGCUAAUGCCGAAUACGCCCUUCGGGGGAAAGAUUUAUCGCUAAAAGAUGGGCCCGCGUCAGAUUAGCUAGUUGGUGGGGUAAUGGCCUACCAAGGCUCCGAUCUGUAGCUGUUCUGGGAGGAAGAUCAGCCACACUGGAACUGAGACACGGUCCAGACUCCUACGGGAUGCAGCAGUGGGGAAGAUUGGACAAUGGGGGAAACCCUGAUCCAGCCAUGCCGCGUGAGUGAUGAAGGCCUUAGGGUUGUAAAGCUCUUUUACCAGGGAAGAUGAUGACGGUACCUGGAGAAUAAGCACCGGCUAACUUCGUGUCAGCAGCCGCCGUAA
This 449-nucleotide ribosomal RNA is filed under the name uncultured bacterium. RNAcentral's name for it is "partial 16S ribosomal RNA". It matches the Rfam family "Bacterial small subunit ribosomal RNA", at positions 29 to 523 of the family's 1533-position model. The record is from RNAcentral.